CCCUUGUACACACCGCCCGUCACACCAUGGGAGUUGGUUCUACCCGAAGAUGGUGCGCUAACUUUUGAGGCAACCAGCCACGGUAGGGUCAGCGACUGGGGUG
RNAcentral lists this ribosomal RNA (103 nucleotides) under uncultured bacterium. Its description in RNAcentral is "partial 16S ribosomal RNA". It matches the Rfam family "Bacterial small subunit ribosomal RNA", at positions 1378 to 1482 of the family's 1533-position model. The record is from RNAcentral.